This 74-nucleotide transfer RNA is filed under the name Cordylochernes scorpioides. RNAcentral's name for it is "tRNA-Thr". Lineage: Eukaryota; Metazoa; Arthropoda; Arachnida; Pseudoscorpiones; Chernetidae. The record is from RNAcentral.
UGUCCAGGGAUGGAAUCGGACCCACAAUGUUCCGCUUACCGGGCAGAUGCCAUGUCCACUAGGCUACCCUGGAC